CAUACAGGAGGUCGUGGGUUCAAUUCCCACAGCGGCCCGGCCGCUUGGUCUAGUAGUAUGAUUCCUGUUUUGGGAG
This 76-nucleotide transfer RNA is filed under the name Rhizoctonia solani AG-1 IB. RNAcentral describes it as "tRNA-Pro". The record is from RNAcentral. Lineage: Eukaryota; Fungi; Basidiomycota; Agaricomycetes; Cantharellales; Ceratobasidiaceae.